UAGCCAUUCAAGGAAACCACGGAAUUACAAACCCUCAAAGCUGGAGCAUCUGAACUACUAAUACAACACAAUGGUUCAAAGCUCAGCCUUACCAGUUAUUAAAGAGAUGAUCUUUUAAAGACAGUAAGGAGUGCUAUGUUUUUCCUCUGAAAUUAACAAAGAUUUUUUUAAAAGUCAUUAUCCAGGCUGGGCACAGUGGCUCACACCUGUUAAUUCCAGCACUUCAGGAGGCUGAGAUAAGAAAAUGCUGACAAUCCUGAGAGAGGAAGUUACUUGCCCAAGGUCACAAAAUCAGCCCAUACAGCUCCUGAAGCCCAGCCUGGAGCUCUGGAAAGCUAUAGAAAAGGGGAUUUGAUUUGCAACCAAGGUUUUUGAAGCACAGCUCUUCCAUAAGUUGCAGAAGCUCUAUAAAUACAACUGUAAAUGCGUGGUGUGCUUAAUCACAUGCCUUACACUGCCUUGUAAGUAAUCACCACAAUGGCAUUUUACCAAAAAGUUUCAAAGCAAAAUAAUGUAAUUUCCUUUCUCAAUAAUUUUGAGAACUUUUUGUCCUUUACAAUAAAGAAAAAAGAAAAGAGAAAAAGAGAA
This is a long non-coding RNA of Macaca mulatta (Rhesus monkey), 588 nucleotides long. RefSeq lists it as uncharacterized. The record is from RefSeq and is a predicted model, not a curated record. NCBI's taxonomy places the organism in Eukaryota, Metazoa, Chordata, Mammalia, Primates, Cercopithecidae.